CGCAGGGGCUUGAGUAUUUACCCGGCUGUGGUAACGUCGGGUUCUGCGUCGGUGACGCCAAAGCCUUCACAAACCCCGCCCUUUGGGCGGGGUUUUGCUUUAUC
This is a non-coding RNA of Pseudomonas putida S11, 104 nucleotides long. Lineage: Bacteria; Pseudomonadati; Pseudomonadota; Gammaproteobacteria; Pseudomonadales; Pseudomonadaceae. The record is from Rfam.